This is a non-coding RNA of Schistosoma mattheei, 46 nucleotides long. The record is from Rfam. NCBI's taxonomy places the organism in Eukaryota, Metazoa, Platyhelminthes, Trematoda, Strigeidida, Schistosomatidae.
GCACUACUGUGGAGUCCUAUCAUAGGACGAAAUGGCCGUCCAGUGC